Molecule: ribosomal RNA, 429 nt
Filed under: Verrucomicrobiota bacterium
Lineage: Bacteria; Pseudomonadati; Verrucomicrobiota
Description: Verrucomicrobia bacterium partial 16S ribosomal RNA
Rfam family: Bacterial small subunit ribosomal RNA
Source: RNAcentral
UAGGGAAUCUUCCGCAAUGGACGAAAGUCUGACGGAGCAACGCCGCGUGAGUGAAGAAGGAUUUCGGUUCGUAAAACUCUGUUGUUAGGGAAGAAAAAAUGUAUAGUAACUAUAUACAAAAGAGACGGUACCUAACCAGAAAGCCCCGGCUAAUUACGUGCCAGCAGCCGCGGUAAUACGUAAGGGGCGAGCGUUGUCCGGAAUUAUUGGGCGUAAAGAGUGCGUAGGCGGCAAAUUAAGUCAGAUGUGAAAACUAAGGGCUCAACCCAUAGAUUGCAUCUGAAACUGAUAUGCUUGAGUCAAGGAGAGGAAAGUGGAAUUCCUAGUGUAGCGGUGAAAUGCGUAGAGAUUAGGAGGAACACCGGUGGCGAAAGCGGCUUUUUGGCCUGCAACUGACACUGAGGCGCGAAAGCGUGGGGAGCAAACAGG